CAGAGGGUGCGAGCGUUAAUCGGAAUUACUGGGCGUAAAGCGCGCGUAGGCGGCUUUUCAAGCCGAUUGUGAAAUCCCCGGGCUUAACCUGGGAACUGCAGUCGGGACUGUCUAGCUAGAGUAUGGGAGAGGGAAGUGGAAUUUCAGGUGUAGCGGUGAAAUGCGUAGAUAUCUGAAGGAACAUCAGUGGCGAAAGCGACUUCCUGGACCAAUACUGACGCUCAUGUGCGAAAGCGUGGGGAGCAAACAGGAUUAGAUACCCUGGUAGUCCACGCCAUAAACGAUGAGAACUGGAUGUCGGGAGGGUCUGCCUCUCGGUGUCGUAGCUAACGCGUUAAGUUCUCCGCCUGGGGAGUACGGCCGUAAGGUUG
Molecule: ribosomal RNA, 371 nt
Filed under: uncultured organism
Description: bacterial SSU rRNA
Rfam family: Bacterial small subunit ribosomal RNA
Source: RNAcentral